Molecule: long non-coding RNA, 323 nt
Filed under: Chinchilla lanigera (long-tailed chinchilla)
Lineage: Eukaryota; Metazoa; Chordata; Mammalia; Rodentia; Chinchillidae
Description: lncRNA (ENSCLAG00000026913.1)
Source: RNAcentral
UCACAAUUGCUUGAGGAUGCUGCCAGAGCCUGAGAAGGGACGAACUCCAAUUGCUCCAGUUCAAACCAGUCCUGGCAGGGGCAGCAGGAAGAGACAGAACAGUAAUUCCCACAGGACGUGGUACUUGCUGAUCAUCCUCCCAGGACUCAGUAGGGUUUCUUCUCCGAGAUGAUACCUGGAAUUGGGACGCUCACCCAGGACACACUAUGGUGCUUCAGCCAAGUGAAAGGUACUAUCGAGAUUGGAACUACAGAAGGUAGGAUAAAGUUUCUAGGCCCUUUAUCCUCAUCUCCUUUGUGCGGGUUCAUAUUUGGAAACUUUCA